CCAAGUGGUUUUGGUUUGGCUUCCUCGGACACUUUAUUCCAUGUUGCCUAAUAGUUAAAAAGCUCCUAUUUUAUAGUCAGUGCAUCUUUCUGUGGGUCCCCAGAGAAGGAAAGACAGUGAGUCUAAAAGUCCUAGGAGAAAUCUCAUUGAUCCAUCUUGAUUUGUGUUCCAUCUGUGAUCAACCCUCUGAAGUAAAGGAGCAGUUCUUCCUCCAAGAGCAUAGAUGCUCUAGCAGGAACCUUGCAGCUACUCUCUUCAACAUGACAUCAAACUUGACUUCCCCCUUGGAAGCUAGAUUUGGCCAUGUGAUUAGCUGCAGCUAAUGUUUGUGAGUGCAAGCCUUACAAAUUGAUGUGCAGAUUGCUACAUCCCCUUCCCACUGCCAAAUGAUGGUGAAAGCAUGUGUCAAAAUGAUGCCUCUUGAGUCUCCAAAUCCUUCUUCUGACUUGCUCUGGACAUGUAAUAUAAUUGAGCA
This is a long non-coding RNA of Cebus imitator (Panamanian white-faced capuchin), 475 nucleotides long. RefSeq lists it as uncharacterized. The record is from RefSeq and is a predicted model, not a curated record. The transcript is spliced from 3 exons. NCBI's taxonomy places the organism in Eukaryota, Metazoa, Chordata, Mammalia, Primates, Cebidae.